RNAcentral lists this transfer RNA (71 nucleotides) under Loxodonta africana (African savanna elephant). It matches the Rfam family "tRNA". From Rfam's summary of the family: Transfer RNA (tRNA) molecules are approximately 80 nucleotides in length. Their secondary structure includes four short double-helical elements and three loops (D, anti-codon, and T loops). The record is from Rfam by way of RNAcentral. Lineage: Eukaryota; Metazoa; Chordata; Mammalia; Proboscidea; Elephantidae.
GCAAUGGUCGUUCAAUGGUAGAAUUCUCACCUUCUGUGUAUGAGGCCCGGGUUCAAUUCCUGACCAAUGUG